GGGAAGAGAAGGGGAGAGCAGCCCAGAGCCCAGACCUGUUUCCCUGAGCCCCUGCCAUCUCAAGCAGCCCAGCCUGCAGCUCCAGAAGAGCAGGACCUUUAGGUCUGGGGUCCCUGGUUUUCUGUCCAUAUCCCACAGCCUGAGGACUACCUCACUCAGGUGCAGAAAGAGGAUUUGAGGAGAUGUCCCAGGGACACAUGUGUGCCUAGGCCUUGCUACAGGGUUAGGAUACAGUAGGAGGAUACAGUAGGAGCAGCAGGACAAGAAAGAGCAGUGGGGGUGACAUGAGGGAGGCCUGGGCCUCAGGAUUAAAUUCCACCACUCAGGAGGCUGAGGCAGGAGGAUGCUGAGUUUGAGCAGGGAACACAGGCUAUGGAACCGAGGAAGGCCCAAACUCGUGUGCCCCCAGAACAGCCCCUGGCCACCAGCCAAGGUGCAGAGCCCAUGCCAACUCCGAAGCUGAGCCCACCGCCCUCUGUGAAGGAUGUGCUUCUGGGAUCUAAGGCCUGGUUCUUCUGAAGCUCUUUGCAGAUGAGAAGGUGGAAAUUCCACAGUAACAGUGGAGGAGGAAAAGCCGUGCACUCAAGCUGACUGUGUGGCUGUUGACGUCUCCGUGACUCGAACCUGUCAUCUGUCCCCAUGAACGCACUGGUUUGUAACUGAGACUCAGAGAGAGGGCCUGAGUACAGCUUGAGAAGAGGAUGGACUGGUGGGCAUUUGAUCAAGGCUGGAUGGAAAGAAACUGAGAGCCAACUGGGAUGGGGGGAGUGGGCACAGAGGGACUUGUGUCUGGCUGUGGCUUAAUAAAAAGGGA
This is a long non-coding RNA of Cavia porcellus (domestic guinea pig), 814 nucleotides long. RefSeq lists it as uncharacterized. The record is from RefSeq and is a predicted model, not a curated record. NCBI's taxonomy places the organism in Eukaryota, Metazoa, Chordata, Mammalia, Rodentia, Caviidae. The transcript is spliced from 4 exons.